RNAcentral lists this ribosomal RNA (369 nucleotides) under uncultured bacterium. Its description in RNAcentral is "bacterial SSU rRNA". It matches the Rfam family "Bacterial small subunit ribosomal RNA", at positions 47 to 412 of the family's 1533-position model. The record is from RNAcentral.
CCUAACACAUGCAAGUCGAACGGUAACAGGAAACAGCUUGCUGUUUCGCUGACGAGUGGCGGACGGGUGAGUAAUGUCUGGGAAACUGCCUGAUGGAGGGGGAUAACUACUGGAAACGGUAGCUAAUACCGCAUAACGUCGCAAGACCAAAGAGGGGGACCCUCGGGCCUCUUGCCAUCGGAUGUGCCCAGAUGGGAUUAGCUUGUUGGUGGGGUAACGGCUCACCUAGGCGACGAUCCCUAGCUGGUCUGAGAGGAUGACCAGCCACACUGGAACUGAGACACGGUCCAGACUCCUACGGGAGGCAGCAGUGGGGAAUAUUGCACAAUGGGCGCAAGCCUGAUGCAGCCAUGCCGCGUGUAUGAAGAA